GUCGACGAUGAGCUCCAGCUUGCUGGGGUGGAUUAGUGGCGAACGGGUGAGUAACACGUGAGCAACCUGCCCCUGACUCUGGGAUAACAGCCGGAAACGGUUGCUAAUACCGGAUAUGCAUCAUAGCCGCAUGGUUUGUGGUGGGAAAGAUUUAUCGGUUGGGGAUGGGCUCGCGGCCUAUCAGCUUGUUGGUGAGGUAGUGGCUCACCAAGGCGUCGACGGGUAGCCGGCCUGAGAGGGUGACCGGCCACACUGGGACUGAGACACGGCCCAGACUCCUACGGGAGGCAGCAGUGGGGAAUAUUGCACAAUGGGCGGAAGCCUGAUGCAGCAACGCCGCGUGAGGGAUGACGGCCUUCGGGUUGUAAACCUCUUUUAGCAGGGAAGAAGCGUGAGUGACGGUACCUGCAGAAAAAGCGCCGGCUAACUACGUGCCAGCAGCCGCGGUAAUACGUAGGGCGCAAGCGUUAUCCGGAAUUAUUGGGCGUAAAGAGCUCGUACGCGGUUUGUCGCGUCUGCUGUGAAAACCCGAGGCUCAACCUCGGGCCUGCAGUGGGUACGGGCACACUAGAGUGC
RNAcentral lists this ribosomal RNA (576 nucleotides) under Microbacterium barkeri. RNAcentral's name for it is "bacterial SSU rRNA". It matches the Rfam family "Bacterial small subunit ribosomal RNA", at positions 61 to 649 of the family's 1533-position model. Lineage: Bacteria; Bacillati; Actinomycetota; Actinomycetes; Micrococcales; Microbacteriaceae. The record is from RNAcentral.